AAUGUUGAUUACAGAGCCCAAAACUGUGCUCAGUCCUCUGUCCUCUUGGAUUUCCUACACAAUUUGUCUUUUUUUUUUUUCCUCGUUUCAGAGGUCCCCAUGAUGAAGCAGGCAUUGCAGGCACUUCGGGGAAAAGCUUUAGGGAUGUGCUUUUCUGCGUGUGCAUUUUUCCACCAAAAGCCUCAUCCUGUGGGAGCCAUAGCACCCUGCUGCACCUGCCUACGCUGCAUUGGAGACCCGUCUGCACCCACGCUGUGAGAUCCAGCUUUUCCUCUUGCUCACUCCACAACCCUGGGCAAGAUGUUUUGGAAUGGAGCGGCGUGGAGCAGAUCACAGACUUCCUCCUGAGACUGCAGACAGGGAAAGAAAAACCAUUUUUCAUUUUGAACCAGGAAGAAUUUUCACUCAAAACCGAAGCACUGGAGUCAGCCAGACCUGGAUUCUAAUCCUGGAUCAGCUAUGUGACCUCGGAAAUGGUUUUUUGGCUGAAUAUUGUCUCUUAAACAUGAGAAUAAUAUCUGAAUGUUCAAAUAUGAAAAUGAUGCCAUUACAUCUUUAUUCCUAGAAAUGUCUUGUCACUACAAGGUGGUUUGUUGCACUGUCACCUUUCUACUGGAUUCACUUGGAACCACUUGGAGCACGGAGGAAGGACAAGAAGGCUCCUGUCCCCCAGUGCAAUGCUGCUGCUACUUGAUUCAUUUUCCUCCAUGAGCUUCUGCUUCCCAUUUCUUUGGAGCAGACAAGCGUGCUCACUGCACCCCCAUUGCCGCGUCUGCAAAUGGUAAGAGCAGCUGCAGUUAAGGGCACUUGCUUCUGGCAGACUUCCUGCAUGUUCUCUGCUUGACAAUGUCAUGGCUGACAGAGCUGAGCCAAAGAGAAAGAUGAGUUUCCCAAGAGGGGCAGAAAAGCCUUUGGAAGGUCUCCGGGGUGAGUCCUAUGGGGUGAACCCCGCAGUGGUAGCACACCUCUUGUGGAAGGUUAUCUGUUUGGCAUUUGUUAGCUGGAUAACGAUGUCCAGUUCUGAGCACACAGAGGCCUGCGUGAAGAGUCCAAACAAGCACCCACUGUGGGAGACCGGGCUGAUGGCUGCCUUGCACUUGUCCAGUCAUUAUCUUAGCGGCUGCAUGCUAGAUCCCCUACUCUGCCCAGGAACCCAUCAAGACGCUUGCUGCUGGACAGGGUCCUUCACUUGGCUGUGAAGCCCACCCAGCAUGAGCUCCCUCCCCAGUCACACUCCUGAUGCUUCUCCAGCCACAGCAGCUUUUCAGUCACCUUGUGUGUCAUUUUGUGACUCCCCACCUCCCCCCCCCCCGCCCCAGCAUCUGCACUUUCCCUCUGGAAUGCUCGUGAGUCCCUCACUUCUCCUCUGUGCCUCUGCUUAGUAAAUUCCCACUGUUCUUUCUCAGUUCAAGUCGCGCUCCCUCACUGCCUCCUUGCUCCUGUAGGCUCCUCUGUCAGGUGACUUCACAAAACCAGAUUAUCUUCUCUAGAAUUUGAACUCUAUAGCAU
This is a long non-coding RNA of Ochotona curzoniae (black-lipped pika), 1509 nucleotides long. RefSeq lists it as uncharacterized. NCBI's taxonomy places the organism in Eukaryota, Metazoa, Chordata, Mammalia, Lagomorpha, Ochotonidae. The transcript has 4 exons. The record is from RefSeq and is a predicted model, not a curated record.